This 451-nucleotide ribosomal RNA is filed under the name uncultured bacterium. RNAcentral's name for it is "partial 16S ribosomal RNA". It matches the Rfam family "Bacterial small subunit ribosomal RNA", at positions 28 to 523 of the family's 1533-position model. The record is from RNAcentral.
GAUGAACGCUGGCGGCGUGCCUAAUACAUGCAAGUCGAACGAAGUCUUCGGACUUAGUGGCGAACGGGUGAGUAACACGUUGGUACCUACCCCGAAGUGGGGAAUAACUGCCCGAAAGGGUGGCUAAUACCGCAUAAUACCGCAAGGUUAAAGCAGUAAUGCGCUUCGGGAGGGGCCUGCGUCCCAUUAGCUAGUUGGUAGGGUAAUGGCCUACCAAGGCGACGAUGGGUAGCUGGAUCGAGAGGUUGACCAGCCACACUGGGACUGAGGUACGGCCCAGACUCCUACGGGAGGCAGCAGUAAGGAAUCUUCCACAAUGGACGAAAGUCUGAUGGAGCAACGCCGCGUGCAGGAUGACGGCCUUCGGGCUGUAAACUGCUUUUAUACGGGAAGAUUAUGACGGUACCGUAUGAAUAAGGACCGGCUAACUACGUGCCAGCCGCCGCCGUAA